This 356-nucleotide ribosomal RNA is filed under the name uncultured bacterium. RNAcentral describes it as "bacterial SSU rRNA". It matches the Rfam family "Bacterial small subunit ribosomal RNA", at positions 28 to 368 of the family's 1533-position model. The record is from RNAcentral.
GACGAACGCUGGCGGCGUGCCUAACACAUGCAAGUCGUGCGAGAACGCCUCCUUCGGGAGGCUAGUAAAGCGGCGAACGGGUGAGUAACACGUGAGCGAUCUACCCGACGGUGGGGGAUAACCCAGGGAAACCUGGGCUAAUACCGCGUACAGCGCUGGGAGUGAAGACCCAGCGUGAAAGCUGGCCUCUCCAUGGAAGCUAGCGCCGCCGGAGGAGCUCGCGGCCUAUCAGCUUGUUGGUGGGGUAACGGCCCACCAAGGCUAUGACGGGUAGCUGGCGUGAGAGCGCGAUCAGCCACACUGGGACUGAGACACGGCCCAGACUCCUACGGGAGGCAGCAGUGGGGAAUAUUGCG